UACGGAGGGGGCGAGCGUUAUUCGGAAUUAUUGGGCGUAAAGGGCGCGUAGGCGGCUGUACAAGUCAAAGGUGAAAUCCCUCGGCUCAACUGAGGAACUGCCUUUGAAACUGUACGGCUUGAGGCCGGGAGGGGGUAGCGGAAUUCCCAGUGUAGCGGUGAAAUGCGUAGAUACUGGGGAGGAACACCAGUGGCGAAGGCGGCUACCUGGACCGGUUCUGACGCUGAGGCGCGGAAAGCGUGG
RNAcentral lists this ribosomal RNA (243 nucleotides) under uncultured bacterium. Its description in RNAcentral is "partial 16S ribosomal RNA". It matches the Rfam family "Bacterial small subunit ribosomal RNA", at positions 524 to 764 of the family's 1533-position model. The record is from RNAcentral.